RNAcentral lists this ribosomal RNA (2547 nucleotides) under Acinetobacter baumannii. Its description in RNAcentral is "partial 23S ribosomal RNA". It matches the Rfam family "Bacterial large subunit ribosomal RNA", at positions 395 to 2925 of the family's 2925-position model. The record is from RNAcentral. Lineage: Bacteria; Pseudomonadati; Pseudomonadota; Gammaproteobacteria; Moraxellales; Moraxellaceae. RNAcentral also lists the same sequence under 1 other name.
ACACAUAAUGAUGACGAGUAGGGCGAGGCACGUGAAACCUUGUCUGAAUAUGGGGGGACCAUCCUCCAAGGCUAAAUACUCCUGACUGACCGAUAGUGAACCAGUACCGUGAGGGAAAGGCGAAAAGAACCCCUGUGAGGGGAGUGAAAUAGAUCCUGAAACCGCAUGCAUACAAGCAGUGGGAGCACCUUCGUGGUGUGACUGCGUACCUUUUGUAUAAUGGGUCAGCGACUUAUAUUCAGUAGCGAGGUUAACCGUAUAGGGGAGCCGUAGAGAAAUCGAGUCUUAAUAGGGCGUUUAGUUGCUGGGUAUAGACCCGAAACCAGGCGAUCUAUCCAUGAGCAGGUUGAAGGUUGGGUAACACUAACUGGAGGACCGAACCCACUGUCGUUGAAAAGCCAGGGGAUGACUUGUGGAUAGGGGUGAAAGGCUAAUCAAGCCUGGUGAUAGCUGGUUCUCCCCGAAAGCUAUUUAGGUAGCGCCUCGGACGAAUACCAUAGGGGGUAGAGCACUGUUUCGGCUAGGGGGUCAUCCCGACUUACCAAACCGAUGCAAACUCCGAAUACCUAUGAGUACUAUCCGGGAGACAGACUGCGGGUGCUAACGUCCGUAGUCAAGAGGAAAACAAUCCAGACCGCCAGCUAAGGCCCCAAAAUCAUAGUUAAGUGGGAAACGAUGUGGGAAGGCAUAGACAGCUAGGAGGUUGGCUUAGAAGCAGCCACCCUUUAAAGAAAGCGUAAUAGCUCACUAGUCGAGUCGGCCUGCGCGGAAGAUGUAACGGGGCUAAAACUAUGUGCCGAAGCUGCGGAUGUAUACUUUGUAUACGUGGUAGGGGAGCGUUCUGUAAGCCGAUGAAGGUGUGUUGAGAAGCAUGCUGGAGGUAUCAGAAGUGCGAAUGCUGACGUGAGUAACGACAAAACGGGUGAAAAACCCGUUCGCCGAAAGACCAAGGGUUCCAGUCCAACGUUAAUCGGGGCUGGGUGAGUCGACCCCUAAGGCGAGGCCGAAAGGCGUAGUCGAUGGGAAAAUGGUUAAUAUUCCAUUACUUCUGUGUAAUGCGAUGAGAGGACGGAGAAGGCUAAAUCAGCCUGGCGUUGGUUGUCCAGGUGAAAGGAUGUAGGCAUGUAUCUUAGGCAAAUCCGGGGUACUCUAUGCUGAGAUCUGAUAGCAAGCUGUACUUGUACAGCGAAGUGGUUGAUGCCAUGCUUCCAGGAAAAGUCUCUAAGCUUCAGUUACACAGGAAUCGUACCCGAAACCGACACAGGUGGUCAGGUCGAGUAGACCAAGGCGCUUGAGAGAACUCUGCUGAAGGAACUAGGCAAAAUGGUACCGUAACUUCGGGAGAAGGUACGCUGUUGUUGGUGAUGGAACUCGCUUCCUGAGCUGACGACAGCCGCAGAAACCAGGCCGCUGCAACUGUUUAUUAAAAACAUAGCACUCUGCAAACACGAAAGUGGACGUAUAGGGUGUGAUGCCUGCCCGGUGCUGGAAGGUUAAUUGAUGGGGUUAGCGUAAGCGAAGCUCUUGAUCGAAGCCCCAGUAAACGGCGGCCGUAACUAUAACGGUCCUAAGGUAGCGAAAUUCCUUGUCGGGUAAGUUCCGACCUGCACGAAUGGCAUAAUGAUGGCGGCGCUGUCUCCAGCAGAGGCUCAGUGAAAUCGAAAUCGCUGUGAAGAUGCAGUGUACCCGCGGCUAGACGGAAAGACCCCGUGAACCUUUACUGCAGCUUGACACUGAACUUUGACCUUACUUGUGUAGGAUAGGUGGGAGGCUUUGAAGCUGGAACGCUAGUUCCAGUGGAGCCGUCCUUGAAAUACCACCCUGGUAAUGUUGAGGUUCUAACUCUGUCCCGUGAUCCGGGACGAGGACCGUGUCUGGUGGGUAGUUUGACUGGGGCGGUCUCCUCCUAAAGAGUAACGGAGGAGUACGAAGGUGCGCUCAGCGUGGUCGGAAAUCACGCGUAGAGUAUAAAGGCAAAAGCGCGCUUAACUGCGAGACCCACAAGUCGAGCAGGUACGAAAGUAGGUCUUAGUGAUCCGGUGGUUCUGUAUGGAAGGGCCAUCGCUCAACGGAUAAAAGGUACUCUGGGGAUAACAGGCUGAUACCGCCCAAGAGUUCAUAUCGACGGCGGUGUUUGGCACCUCGAUGUCGGCUCAUCUCAUCCUGGGGCUGAAGCAGGUCCCAAGGGUAUGGCUGUUCGCCAUUUAAAGAGGUACGCGAGCUGGGUUUAGAACGUCGUGAGACAGUUCGGUCCCUAUCUACCGUGGGCGCUGGAAAUUUGAGAGGAUCUGCUCCUAGUACGAGAGGACCAGAGUGGACGAACCUCUGGUGUACCGGUUGUGACGCCAGUCGCAUCGCCGGGUAGCUAUGUUCGGAAGGGAUAACCGCUGAAAGCAUCUAAGCGGGAAGCCUACCUCAAGAUAAGAUUUCCCUAGGACUUUAUGUCCUCUAAAGAGCCGUUCGAGACUAGGACGUUGAUAGGUUGGAUGUGGAAGCAUAGUGAUAUGUGAAGCUGACCAAUACUAAUUGCUCGUGAGGCUUGACUAU